ACAAGGUGAGGAGAGUGAGAGUACACACAAGUGAUGAGAAUGAGAUGAGGACACAAGGUGAGAAUGAGAGGACACAAGGUGAGAAUGAGAGGACACAAGGUGAGAGUGUGGAACAUGACGUUAUAUCGUUAAUAAAUGAUAAUAUUU
Long non-coding RNA from Xenia sp. Carnegie-2017, 147 nucleotides. RefSeq lists it as uncharacterized. The transcript is spliced from 2 exons. NCBI's taxonomy places the organism in Eukaryota, Metazoa, Cnidaria, Anthozoa, Malacalcyonacea, Xeniidae. The record is from RefSeq and is a predicted model, not a curated record.